UCCUUUCACCCACUAAAAUUUCUGACAAAAACAACCGACCAGUUUCCUUCUGUGAGUUUAUUCUGAGACAACAAACAUCGUCGUGACCUGAAAUCCUCAACCUUGGACCAGAUAUUCCACAAGUUUAUCUUCAUUAACACCACACAGCCUCUUUCACACUCUCAGCUCUAUGAUUAGCUGAGGAAGUCUCACCAUCCACCUGCACAUUUGCUGAAUCAGUGCUUCUGCAGCUGCAUGAGGAAUAAAAUAUAACCGUGUCUGGUGCCUCCUGGUGGCCGGAAAGACGACUAACUCCAUAAAAAAAACAAUAACUUACAUAAGAAACAAUAAAACGCUGUUCAGCAAAUGUGGAAGAAAUGGUGAAGUUCCUCGUUUGCAUCAAUAAUUCUAUUAAAUCAGGCAGCAGUGGAGAGCAAACGGUGCAAUAAACACUCGUGUUACACUUACAUUUUGCAAAUAAAACCCACACAAUACAAAAAUAGCAUAUUUAUAGUAGCAAAGCACAUCGGUUCUUUGGUUGCUCCUCAUUGCAAAUCAAAACUUGGCACACUGUGUUUAUCUCAUGCUCCAAAUGUCUUAAGUUCCUUAAAAAGCAUAUUAUAGAAGAAGACAGCAUCAUCAGGAGAUGAAAUAAAGCACUUAAGCUCUUCCUAUAAUUUCUUUUUUGCAAGAAAUUGAAUUAGGCACCAUAAAUUUAACGCUGUGUAGAUAAUUUAUACAUAAAUGUGUAAAGUACUCUGAGCUCUAAACUCACCUGGCACCACAUUUCAAAAUACAAACAGCAGGUUCAAGUGUCAGGAUUCUAAUACAAGCGGUUGUUCGCCAUCAGUUGGAGAAAAUUCAUGACUUUUAUGAUAUUAAAGCUGCAAUAAUCUCAUUUUUAUCCACUUGGGGGCAGCACAACAUGCUGAAACACAACAUUAAGACUCUGAUUUACAAGCAUGUAGCUAAAAUAGCGUUGAUCUUGGGUUGUAUUUCUGGCAACUACAUUUCAAUUUCAAACUCCUUUUGUGUCUGUUUUAGCCUCCAAAGGAAAUAUUAGCUUCAUGAGAUUGGUAAAAGUGAACCAAACAGUAAAGUUACACACUGUAAAACCAAAACAAUGACAUAAAAGACACCAAAACAAGCCAAAAACACCAAAAACCAUCACUUUUCCAACACAUCUGUCUAAAAAAACUGUAUUGUUUACUGUUUUUUCUGCUCUUUCACAAAAAAAAUGGAUUAACAGGCUUUUCUCAGGUGAAUCAACAUCUGAUCCUCUGUAAACUGUACAAUUAAUCAUCAAAUUACAACAAACAAAGACAGACAAUUAGCCAAAACACAAUCCAAAAUACUCAACAAACACUUAAAGGCAGGCGCUUUUCAUUGAUCGAUUGCUUUGGUCUGGCUUUGCUCUUCAUUAACUGGUGCAGCAUAAACGAGGCAUUUUUGAUUACGUGAAAAGGAGCAUCUUAACAGCUUUAAUGAGUUAAUUAGUCUUAAAAUAAUUUAAUAAAGUGAGUUUUAAUCUGAUAACUCCCCAAAAAAGAGUGUAUUUCUGGCUUUUGUUGGCAUAAAAGCAGCGUUUUACCACAUCUCACUAAAGUAUUAUAAAGAAAAGCAACAUUUCCAACAGCCUAAAAAGCGCCAUUUUACUCUGUCAGUGUCAGUGCAUGUCUUGAAAGUUUUAGAUUUUAAUUAAAAAAAAAAACAGAAAAUUUCCAGAAAACACCAUUUUUAUGGUGUUGUCUGGCUUGUGGUGGUGUUACAGGCCUGAAAAUAUCACUUUUUAUGAUGCUUUCACUGAAACGUCGCUCUAAAACUUCCAAAACGCCAGUACUCUGGUGACUUACAGCAAUAUUUGAAUCCAUGUCACUGGAUUGUCGCCAGAAAGUGUAAUUUUUGGCAGGAUAAAUAGCGUCAUAUCACUGCAGGUCUCAUGUUUUGGUGGGUUUGAUGAGCUAAAAAGUGCUGAUUUUAAUUAGAUCACGAUAAAAAGCGGCGCUUUACUGUAAAUCACCAUAACACUGGAGUUUUAGUGGCGUUGGAGAAUGUAAAAAGCAGCAUUUUAAUCAGAGAACUAUGAAAAGCAGCAUUUUCUCCAGCUUUAGGCAACGGAAAAGGCGACAUUUUAAUACGGAGCACAAGAGUGGCGUAAACAGACUUUUUUUUGACAGCGUAAAAAGCAUUGUUUUAGUGUAAGUCAAUGGUGACGCUAUUAAAAGCACUGCUACUAAAAAAAAACUACUAUAAAAGUGAGAUUUUUCCACAUUUGACAGCAUAAAAAGUAGCGUUUUAUAGUCAUUUGCGUAGUUUUUCCAUCCAAUGAAUCUGUAAUCAGUGAAGAAGAAGGGCAGGCCAGACUAAUCAAGCACUGAUGAUCUAUUUUGCAUUUCUGGCAGCCUAGAAAAAAAAUCACAAUUUUGCACUUGGGUGUUAUUCUGUUAUCUAUAGUACAAUAAAUAUACUUAUUGUACUAUAUUAAUA
Amphiprion ocellaris (clown anemonefish) is the source of this 2466-nucleotide long non-coding RNA. The record is from Ensembl. NCBI's taxonomy places the organism in Eukaryota, Metazoa, Chordata, Actinopteri, Pomacentridae.